AUUGAACGCUGGGGGCGGCAUGCUUAACACAUGCAAGUCGAACGGUAACAGGCCCUUCGGGUGCUGACGAGUGGCGGACGGGUGAGUAAUGCUUAGGGAAUCUGCCUAGUAGUGGGGGAUAACCCGGGGAAACUCGGGCUAAUACCGCAUACGCCCUACAGGGGAAAGCGGGGGGACUUUCGGGCCUCGCGCUAUUAGAUGAGCCUAAGUCCGAUUAGCUAGUUGGUAGGGUAAUGGCCUACCAAGGCGACGAUCGGUAGCUGGUCUGAGAGGACGACCAGCCACACUGGGACUGAGACACGGCCCAGACUCCUACGGGAGGCAGCAGUGGGGAAUAUUGGACAAGUGGGCGCAAGACCUGAUCCAGCGAUGCCGCGUGUGUGAAGAAGG
This 390-nucleotide ribosomal RNA is filed under the name uncultured bacterium. RNAcentral's name for it is "bacterial SSU rRNA". It matches the Rfam family "Bacterial small subunit ribosomal RNA", at positions 38 to 414 of the family's 1533-position model. The record is from RNAcentral.